This 599-nucleotide ribosomal RNA is filed under the name Bacillus subtilis. RNAcentral's name for it is "bacterial SSU rRNA". It matches the Rfam family "Bacterial small subunit ribosomal RNA", at positions 56 to 637 of the family's 1533-position model. Lineage: Bacteria; Bacillati; Bacillota; Bacilli; Caryophanales; Bacillaceae. The record is from RNAcentral.
UGCAAGUCGAGCGGACAGAUGGGAGCUUGCUCCCUGAUGUUAGCGGCGGACGGGUGAGUAACACGUGGGUAACCUGCCUGUAAGACUGGGAUAACUCCGGGAAACCGGGGCUAAUACCGGAUGGUUGUUUGAACCGCAUGGUUCAAACAUAAAAGGUGGCUUCGGCUACCACUUACAGAUGGACCCGCGGCGCAUUAGCUAGUUGGUGAGGUAACGGCUCACCAAGGCGACGAUGCGUAGCCGACCUGAGAGGGUGAUCGGCCACACUGGGACUGAGACACGGCCCAGACUCCUACGGGAGGCAGCAGUAGGGAAUCUUCCGCAAUGGACGAAAGUCUGACGGAGCAACGCCGCGUGAGUGAUGAAGGUUUUCGGAUCGUAAAGCUCUGUUGUUAGGGAAGAACAAGUACCGUUCGAAUAGGGCGGUACCUUGACGGUACCUAACCAGAAAGCCACGGCUAACUACGUGCCAGCAGCCGCGGUAAUACGUAGGUGGCAAGCGUUGUCCGGAAUUAUUGGGCGUAAAGGGCUCGCAGGCGGUUUCUUAAGUCUGAUGUGAAAGCCCCCGGCUCAACCGGGGAGGGUCAUUGGAAACUGGG